UCUAAUGCUUUUCCAGGAAGGACUAUUAACAAUGAGUUAAUCUGUCGAAAAGAUUUGAUAUCCGAUGUCCAGUUAAAUGCCACCACAUACAAAGGGAGGAAUUAUUUCCUCGGCUGAUAGCAUUUAAAGAGACCGGCCUCGAUUUGCUGCUGCUCUGUGGUCUGAGCACCUGCUGAUUUCUUCUGUAUUACCUUGUGUUGACUGAGCUCUGUGACUGUGCUGCCUUCAGGGUCAGAGGGGAAAAGGAGAAACACUAAUGUCCUCUGCCAUGUGGGCCUGAGGUUAUCGACAGGCACGGGGCAGAUGGCUCAGCCACGGGGGGCAAACACUCACACCUCGCAAACCAGUACAUCCAUGCACACAUACGUCCAUAGGCAGACACACAAAUCUACGUAGAGGUGAGGAAGAAGGACUCCGUCAAUCUGACACUCAUACUGAUCUGCGGCUGCUCGGACUGCAUGCUGAUGUACCACAGGAAGAAUUCCCCGUGAGCAAGGACACAGAAUGACAUCCUGUCAGGCCGUGAUGAAUGCGAUUUAAACCUUCAGGUUAAACAAAGAAAAAAAAAAGACUGACUGGGACCUUGACAUUUUCACCAGGCAGCUGCAUUGACUUAAAAUAACUCACAGCUACAGCCAGGGGGCGCACUUCCAAAAUGAUUACGUUUAACUACAGUGUAUCAUGCUAACUAAGAGCAUGGUAGUAUUAUUUCAGUAAAUAGAUACAGAAAAACUCUGUUUUUCUUUUGAAAGUACGAGCAAAAUUCGAAAUACUGUUAUGUCCCCGUAUGGCAUGAAAGUCCUCGUAUAGCAGGUGGACACGAUACUUAAUGUCUUACUUUUGAGAUAUAUUUGGAAAAGAACAACAACUUCAGUGACAAAAUAAAUUGAAGGCAACCAUCAGUUAUAUAUUUAUUACUUUAUUCAUUUUACUGCUUUAUUCAGUUAAAUGUAUCAUUAAAUAUGAAGCUUUAAAACAAAAAAAAAUCAGACUUUAAGACUGAAAAGCUGAGCGAUAAUUAACUUGUUUUAUGACAUAUUAUCCUUUUCUUUAUUUAACCGUUUUCUUAUUAUGUUUUUUUUAUUUCUGCUCUUUUAUUGUUUAUUUUUUGUUUAGUUUUGAUGACAUUGUUGACUCCAUAUGUGUUUUUAUCAGGUAUUUGUGUAUUAAAGUUUUUACUUUCAAUUCAGAUCCACUCCACUAAAAAAGCAGCCCAGCCCCUCAAGAAUUAUUUUUUUCUUUCCAAAUUGAGUUUUUCCACUCAUCUGGUGAAAAUUCCUGAAAUUUCUUAAUGAACUGGAGAAGACUUGGGACAGAAGGAAACAAUUCACAUAUAUUUUUUUAACAGAUGUCAUGUUUGUGAAACUUAUGCGCAAAAUGUUUCAUUGUUUAAGUCUAAGUUAAACAAAAUGUAACAUAAAAAAAGUGAAAUGUUUGCUCUUUCUUAUUCCACCUAUGUGCUUACCGUAAUUAAGAUAAUUAAGAUAAUUAAUUUGUUUAAUUUGAAUGAUGAUGACUAUGAAAUGUGGCUAAUGAGGCUCUGUAAGUAAUUCUGCAUUAGAUUAUGCAGUUAAGAAGUCAUAUUAUUUCCAAAUAAGUUACACACAUUUGAAGUUAUAUUUCUUAACAAAUACAUUAACAAACACUGUCAUACUUUAUAUCUCAAAUCAUUGUGAGUUGUAGACAAUUUAUUGUCUAUAUUCGGUCUGUCAGUGCUAUAUCAAAACUAAACUGAUAUCGUUUAUUUGUAUUUUUUGUCUAUGUGAAUAUUUUGCACAUUAAAAGCUCAUAAGUCUUUAUACAUUAAAGACAAUAUGUGCAAUAUCAA
Acanthochromis polyacanthus (spiny chromis) is the source of this 1828-nucleotide long non-coding RNA. RefSeq lists it as uncharacterized. NCBI's taxonomy places the organism in Eukaryota, Metazoa, Chordata, Actinopteri, Pomacentridae. The record is from RefSeq and is a predicted model, not a curated record. The transcript has 2 exons.